UACGUAGGGGGCUAGCGUUGUCCGGAUUUAUUGGGCGUAAAGAGCGUGUAGGCGGCCAGGUAGGUCUGCUGUGAAAACUGGAGGCUUAACCUUCAGACGUCGACGGAAACCGCGCGGCUAGAGUUCGGUAGGGGAGACUGGAAUUCCUGGUGUAGCGGUGAAAUGCGCAGAUAUCAGGAGGAACACCGGUGGCGAAGGCGGGUCUCUGGGCCGAUACUGACGCUGAGGAGCGAAAGCGUGGGGAGCGAACAGG
This 253-nucleotide ribosomal RNA is filed under the name uncultured bacterium. RNAcentral describes it as "partial 16S ribosomal RNA". It matches the Rfam family "Bacterial small subunit ribosomal RNA", at positions 524 to 776 of the family's 1533-position model. The record is from RNAcentral.